AAGUUGGAAUUGCUAGUAAUCGCGGGUCAGCCAUACCGCGGUGAAUACGUUCUCAAGUCUUGUACUCAC
This is a ribosomal RNA of 69 nucleotides. It matches the Rfam family "Bacterial small subunit ribosomal RNA", at positions 1323 to 1390 of the family's 1533-position model.